This 301-nucleotide ribosomal RNA is filed under the name uncultured bacterium. RNAcentral describes it as "partial 16S ribosomal RNA". It matches the Rfam family "Bacterial small subunit ribosomal RNA", at positions 509 to 807 of the family's 1533-position model. The record is from RNAcentral.
CAGCAGCCACGGUAAUACGAAGGGUGCAAGCGUUACUCGGAAUUACUGGGCGUAAAGCGUGCGUAGGUGGUUGUUUAAGUCCGUUGUGAAAGCCCUGGGCUCAACCUGGGAAUUGCAGUGGAUACUGGGCAACUAGAGUGUGGUAGAGGAUAGUGGAAUUUCCGGUGUAGCAGUGAAAUGCGUAGAGAUCGGAAGGAACGUCUGUGGCGAAGGCGACUAUCUGGGCCAACACUGACACUGAGGCACGAAAGCGUGGGGAGCAAACAGGAUUAGAUACCCGCGUAGUCCCUGUCUCUUAUAC